UUAAUCUUCCUUGAUUCAAAUCUAAUUCAUCUUGAUCAAUUGAUCAAGUGAAUGGCUUUGCAUUAAGGAUAGGUUGUUUUCUAAAUCAUGCAAAAGGCUUAAACCAAUACAAGAUCAAUUCUCUUUUUUCAUUUUUGGCAUGACAAGUUGUUGGAACUUGGUUCACUAAUCAAGACUUCUAACUUGUGUUGUUGCCUACAUUAUUAU
Molecule: long non-coding RNA, 207 nt
Filed under: Lathyrus oleraceus (garden pea)
Lineage: Eukaryota; Viridiplantae; Streptophyta; Magnoliopsida; Fabales; Fabaceae
Description: Pisum sativum (pea) long non-coding RNA (PSAT_LNC019228)
Source: RNAcentral